UAUUUUUAUGGCUUUGUUUGAAGAUCCUUUGGUGACUUUCAGUGCCACUGGAAGGAUGCUGUGCUGACAUCAGUAUCGGGGUGGCACCAGCAAGAGGAGUGACCCAGGAUGUGCCUUGCCUGUUUGGGCUAGAUCCAGCCCUGUUUCUGAGGUCCUGAAAUCUGCUGAACCCACACCGAAGAACAUAAGCAGAGCCUUACUGGAUCAGAGCAGAGUUCCAUUGGAUUCAGCACCCUUUUUCUCAUGAUGGACAACUAGACGUCUCUCAGAACCCCAUUUCGUUACAGCAGUUGUCCAGUUUAUCUUAUGGAGACUUUGUCACUGAAGUAUUGUCACUAAGUCAAACUGGCAUGUGGCUUCCUGGCAAACAUGUUUAGUACCAAAUAGUUCUGUUGGUAAGAUGCUGCGUGCACCAACCUGUAUCCAAAUUGCAGAGCUGAACAGUGCCUUCCCUUAUUGGCCAGUGUAGGAUGAUGAAGUCUGCACUAUGGCAAAGAAUGGGGCUUUGAGUCAGUGGUAGAACAUCUGUUUCAUAUGCAGAAGGUUCCAAGUUUGAUACAAGGAGGGCUGAGAGAAAAUUCCUCUCUGAAACCCUGGACAGUUGCUACCCAUCUAAGUAGAUGAUACUGAGCUAGAUGGACCAAUGGCCUGACUUAGUAUAAGGCAGCUAACUAUGUUCCCACGACUCAGUAUAAGACAGCUUCCUAAAAACUACAUGAUGUGAGUUGGCCACCAUAUGGUUGCCUCAUAGAGAUACCAAGCCAUUGCUGGGCUCAUGGCAACAUCGUCUUGGAUUUGCUCCAUUGUUUAGCUAAUAUUUGCUGCAUCAGUUUGUGGUAUGAGUUCACCUUUAGGAACAUGUGAGAUUUUAAUAAAUACAUAUAUUUAUUAAAUUACCUAUAAAGCCCUCAAUGGCUUGGGUCCAGGGUACUUAAGAGAGUGCCUCCUCUGUCAUGAACCCUAUUGCUUAUUAAGAUUAUCUGGAGAGGUCUGGUGGUUAUGGUUGCCGCCGGCUAGUUUGGUGGCAUCUCAGGACCGGGCCUUCUCUGCGGCUGCCUUAGAGCUUUGGAAGGUGCUCCCUGUUAAAAUAAGAACAUCUUCUCUGUCUGCUUUUAGGAAGACCCUCAAGACACCUGUUUUCUCAGGCUUGUAACUGAAAUUAAUUUUAAACUGAUUAAUUGUUUUUAUCCCAUGAGAUUGUUUUCUUUUGUUUUGUGAAGUUGUUUUAACUGUUUUUACUCUGUUUUAUAUUAGUUUGUGUUUUAAAUUGGGUACACCACCCAGAGAUGCACAUAUCAGGCAGUAUAUAAAUGUGAUAGAUGGAUGGAUAGAUAGAUAGAUAGAUAGAUAGAUAGAUAGAUAAACAUUAUGAAAUAAUAUGAGGCAGUAUAUAAAUGUGAUAGAUGGAUGGAUAGAUAGAUAGAUAAUAAACAUUAUGAAAUAAUAUUUUCUAUAAUGAUAAAUAUGGACGUGAUCUUGUCAAAAUGGAGGGUUUUAGGGUCUUAUUGAUAUCAUUGAAUGAAAAGAAUGUAAACGUCUAACCAUUGCAGUCAAUGGGACUAAAAAGCCUGACCGCCAGCAGCCUAUGUGAGGCAGCGGCGGUGGCCCUGCUGACCCCGCCCCCGCAUCUGACA
Molecule: long non-coding RNA, 1634 nt
Organism: Hemicordylus capensis (graceful crag lizard)
Lineage: Eukaryota; Metazoa; Chordata; Lepidosauria; Squamata; Cordylidae
Exons: 3
Source: RefSeq, a predicted model, not a curated record